UUUAACUGGGUAGUGCCUCAUGGCAGUCAUCGACCUUUGAGCCGUAGAACCGUAAGAUCAAACUGAGACUCAAGCCUGCAUAACCAUAGGAAGAAAAGGAUCAUCAACAAAGAGGACAAAGUGAAUCAGGAACCAGUUCCUGGUUCCUCUAAAAAAUCAUUCUAAAUGACAAACUGUGAGAAGAAAAAAGAACUGGUCUAAUGACAUAGAUGUGUUAACCGGCAAACACUACCAAGUCAGAUCAAAUACUCAGCUUAUUUCUGUCCCUUUUCAAUAUUAAGAACGAUUAUUAAGUAACCAGGUACAUAACAAAAACGAAUAAUGCCUACAUAGUAGCUCAUCUCUCUUAAUACAUCUACACUGAUUUCGAUGUACAAUUUAGGACCAAUGGAAAACCAGAAAAACACAAAAAACCCACACAAUAAAGCUAAAACUAAAUAUUGCACGCCGUCGAGACCUAUCUGGCGUGCAACAUCUGUCACUACAGAAGGACAUCGGCGUCAAUCACAGCGGUAGGGCCAUCAGCAUAGCCAACAGGAAUUGCAGGCUGAACCACGGUCACAGCUACUGACUCCAACAUAUUUUUGAACGUAGAUAUGGUACAUGAUUGAGAAUACCUAAUCAGUAAAGCACCACUACCCAACCAUAAACAUAGAGGAAGUAAUAUGAGCCGAAAUCUCUAAUGGCAUGAAAAAAUUAGAGCAUGUUUGACAUAUCAUUUUGAAACUACAAAUAUGAAAUAAAUUACAGCCAAGAAAGAAAACAUUAAGUAGCUAGAGAGCAUACACUGCUUUCUAAUAGGAAAGAAGGUAAUUUAACUGGCAAGGUACUGCGACUGACUCCAACAUGAAAGAACAAAGAAAACUUUUAUAAUCAACCUCUGCCAUGCUCAUGUUUCUUUUGUAAUCAGUAGAGUAGUUGCAACCAUGCGCAUAUCACUAAGCAAAAAAAGAGAAGGUCACGACUUACUUAAUGUUUGACGGCGGCAAGAGCCACGAUGGCAUCGGCGGCGGUGGUGGCGUCCGAUCGCCAACAACCAUGCAUAUAUCAAGUGCCAUGAUAUGUGAAGCAAGACAUAGGAAUACAAGAGGGAAACAAAACAGAGGCACACAUGAUGCAUACUUUACCAUACAAACUUAAGGCAGCAAGAGAGGCCCCUAUAACUUGCUGGGAGCAUGUCUUUCUAGUAUAACAAAGUGCAGCUUACUCUUAACCAGAUUAAAUCAAGGACCAACAACAAACAAUAAAAGAUCAAGAACAACUCAUAUGCAAUAAAGGUAUGAGAGAGAAGAAAUCUUUACAUAAGACGACUAUAAACACCGGAGCAUAAAUAAGCAACACCUUUAAAUACAAAUAAAAAGGAUCCAGGGUUCAUUGCAUAGUGGGUUCAGAUCUGACUUUCCUCGAUCAUAUAACCUACCCCCGUCUCUUAUCACCAGAUCAAUCUGUUUAUACAGUGGAGCUGCCCUGGUUAUCACUCAACAAGAAUGACCAUCCAAGGACAGAGCAACAAGUAUCACA
This 1521-nucleotide long non-coding RNA is filed under the name Triticum aestivum (bread wheat). RNAcentral's name for it is "long non-coding RNA (TAES_LNC024820)". Lineage: Eukaryota; Viridiplantae; Streptophyta; Magnoliopsida; Poales; Poaceae. The record is from RNAcentral.